CAUCUGAUUUUCAGCCGUGACAUCAUCCAUUCAAGCCCUUGGCAUAACCUAAGAAGACAACAAAAACCAUGUGAUUCUAUUACGGACUAAAAUGUUACAGACUAUCCACUGUACUACAAUUUAAACAGUCUAUAUCAUUUUGCUUCUCACAGACUGACAGAAAUAAAUACUGACUAUAUUUUAAAUAA
Mastomys coucha (southern multimammate mouse) is the source of this 188-nucleotide long non-coding RNA. RefSeq lists it as uncharacterized. The record is from RefSeq and is a predicted model, not a curated record. Lineage: Eukaryota; Metazoa; Chordata; Mammalia; Rodentia; Muridae. The transcript has 2 exons.